AUGCCAUUUGCAUGUGGACCCUCGACCUGCAACUGGGUAUUCUCUUUUUCAUGCCAAUUGCAAGUGGAUCCUCGACUUGCAACUUGGUCUUUUUAUUUGAUGCCACUUGCAAGUGGCCCCUCGACUUGCAACUCUGUCUUCUAUUUUUUUGAUGCCACUUGUAAGUGGACCCUCGACUUGCAACCGAGUUCCUUUGUUUUUCAUGCCACUUGCAAGUGGACCCUCAACUUGCAACUACGUCUUCUUUUUUUAUGCCACUUGCAAGUGGACCCUCAACUUGCAACAGGGUUCCUUUGUUUUUCAUGCCACUUGCAAGUGGACCCUCGACUUGCAACCAUUUCUUCUUUUUUUAUGCCACUUGCAAGUGGCCCCUCGACUUGCAACCGAGUUCCUUUGUUUUUCAUGCCACUUGCAAGUGGACCCUCGACUUGCAACUACAUCUUCUAUUUUUUUGAUGUCAUUUGCAAGUGGACCCUCGACUUGCAACCGGGUUCCUUUUUUUAUGCCACUUGCAAGUGGACACUCGAGUUGCAACCAGGUCUUGUUUUUUAUGCCACUUGCAAGUGGCCCCUAGACUUGCAACCGGGUUCCUUUGUUUUUCAUGCCACUUGCAAGUGGCCCCUUGACUUGCAACCGCGUCUUCCAUUUUUUUGA
Molecule: ribosomal RNA, 654 nt
Filed under: Triticum aestivum (bread wheat)
Lineage: Eukaryota; Viridiplantae; Streptophyta; Magnoliopsida; Poales; Poaceae
Description: partial small subunit ribosomal RNA
Source: RNAcentral